AUUGAACGCUGGCGGCAUGCCUUACACAUGCAAGUCGAACGGCAGCACGGGAGCAAUCCUGGUGGCGAGUGGCGAACGGGUGAGUAAUAUAUCGGAACGUGCCCAGUAGUGGGGAUAACUGCUCGAAAGAGCAGCUAAUACCGGCAUACGACCUGAGGGUGAAAGGGGGGGAGUCGCAAGACCUCUCGCUAUUGGAGCGGCCGAUAUCAGAUUAGCUAGUUGGUGGGGUAAAGGGCCUACCAAGGCAACGAUCUGUAGUUGGUCUGAGAGGACGACCAGCCACACUGGGACUGAGACACGGCCCAGACUCCUACGGGAGGCAGCAGUGGGGAAUUUUGGACAAUGGGCGCAAGCCUGAUCCAGCAAUGCCGCGUGCAGGAAGAAGGCCUCGGUUGGUAACUAGCUUUGUUC
RNAcentral lists this ribosomal RNA (411 nucleotides) under uncultured bacterium. RNAcentral's name for it is "bacterial SSU rRNA". It matches the Rfam family "Bacterial small subunit ribosomal RNA", at positions 30 to 440 of the family's 1533-position model. The record is from RNAcentral.